ACGCGAAUCAGGAAGGAAUACUAAUAACGCCUUCCUCUUUUUCCUUAUUUAACACAUUACGAUCGACUGGUAUAACCUGGGGUGGUGUUUUACUUCCUCCACUCCAGCCCUUGCUAUCAACAUGAAGGUCGUCCUCUUUGCCUGCCUCCCAAUGGCUAUUCUGUGCCAGACAAUGGUAACGGCAAAUAAUAUGACUACAACCCCUGCAACCCCUAGUCCAACAACGUCAAUGCCAGCAGCAACGUCAGCGCCACCGCCAAACACCACGUCCAGUGAUGGAAGGGAGGUAACUGUGUCACUGGUUCCCCUGAUCGCCAGCUCUCUGCUGCUGCUCAUCCAGUAACCUGUGCAUGACGAACCAUGACGUCUGACCUCUUUCUGACUCUGACUGGCCCUGGUCUCUGACGUCGUUCAAUGCCUGUGCCAGCUCAGGGGCGACAUAGAUGCUUCUAUGACGUGGGACAGCCGUGUGCUUAAAACACUGAUAGUAUCGUUGUCGUUUUUCUUUCAAACAAUUAAACAUUUCUUUUGUUAAAAA
This is a long non-coding RNA of Haliotis rufescens (red abalone), 538 nucleotides long. RefSeq lists it as uncharacterized. The record is from RefSeq and is a predicted model, not a curated record. The transcript is spliced from 3 exons. NCBI's taxonomy places the organism in Eukaryota, Metazoa, Mollusca, Gastropoda, Lepetellida, Haliotidae.